This is an unclassified non-coding RNA of Pongo abelii (Sumatran orangutan), 148 nucleotides long. It matches the Rfam family "Metazoan signal recognition particle RNA". From Rfam's summary of the family: The signal recognition particle (SRP) is a universally conserved ribonucleoprotein. It is involved in the co-translational targeting of proteins to membranes. The record is from Ensembl. Lineage: Eukaryota; Metazoa; Chordata; Mammalia; Primates; Hominidae.
GCCGGGUGUGGUGGCGCAUGCCUGUAAUCCCAACUACUCAGGAGGCUGAGGUGGGAAAAUCGCUUGAGCCCGGGAAGUGGAGGUUGCAGUGAGUGGAGAUCACGCCACUGCACUCCAGCCUGGGCAACAGAGUGGUACUCUGUCUCAA